GCUAAAAUAGUUUAAUUCAAGAAUUUGUAACUUGUAAUUACAAGGUUAUUUUAGCA
RNAcentral lists this transfer RNA (56 nucleotides) under Phascolostrongylus turleyi. RNAcentral's name for it is "tRNA-Thr". Lineage: Eukaryota; Metazoa; Nematoda; Chromadorea; Rhabditida; Strongylidae. The record is from RNAcentral.